CGGUUAUAGUAGGGUACUAGCUUGUUCCGGAUUAUUGGGCGUAAAGAGUCGUAGGGGUUUGUCAUCUGGUGUGGAAACGACGCUUAAACUGGCGUGCAGUGGGUACGGGCUGACUAGAGUGCAGUAGGGGAGUCGGGAAUUCCUGGUGUAGCGGUGAAAUGCGCAGAUAUCAGGGAGGAACACCCGGUGGGAAGGCGGGGACUCUGGGCUGUAACUGACACUGAGGAGCGAAAGCAGGGGAGCGAACAGGAUUAGAUACCCUGGUAGUCCAUGCCGUAAACGUUGGGCACUAGGUGUGGGGGACAUUCCACGUUCUCCGCGCCGUAGCUAACGCAUUAAGUGCCCCGCCUGGGGAGUACGGUCGCAAGGCUAAAACUCAAAGGAAUUGACGGGGGCCCGCACAAGCGGCGGAGCAUGCGGAUUAAUUCGAUGCAACGCGAAGAACCUUACCAAGGCUUGACAUACACUGGACCGUUCUGGAAACAGUUCUUCUCUUUGGAGCUGGUGUACAGGUGGUGCAUGGUUGUCGUCAGCUCGGUCGUGAGAUGUUGGGUUAAGUCCCGCAACGAGCGCAACCCUCGUUCUAUGUUGCCAGCACGUGAUGGUGGGAACUCAUAGGAGACUGCCGGGGUCAACUCGGAGGAAGGUGGGGAUGACGUCAAAUCAUCAUGCCCUUUAUGUCUUGGGCUUCACGCAUGCUACAAUGGCUGGUACAGAGAGAGGCGAACCCGUGAGGGUAAGCGAAUCCCUUAAAGCCAGUUCAGUUCGGAUCGUAGUCUGCAAUUCGACUACGUGAAGUCGGAGUCGCUAGUAAUCGCAGAUCAGCACGCUGCGAAUACGUUCCCGGGCCUUGUACACACCGCCCG
This 866-nucleotide ribosomal RNA is filed under the name Brevibacterium iodinum. Its description in RNAcentral is "bacterial SSU rRNA". It matches the Rfam family "Bacterial small subunit ribosomal RNA", at positions 518 to 1396 of the family's 1533-position model. The record is from RNAcentral. Lineage: Bacteria; Bacillati; Actinomycetota; Actinomycetes; Micrococcales; Brevibacteriaceae.